Molecule: ribosomal RNA, 253 nt
Filed under: uncultured bacterium
Lineage: Bacteria
Description: partial 16S ribosomal RNA
Rfam family: Bacterial small subunit ribosomal RNA
Source: RNAcentral
UACGUAGGGUGCAAGCGUUGUCCGGAAUUAUUGGGCGUAAAGAGCAUGUAGGAGGUUUUGCGCGUCUUCCGUUAAAGCCCACGGCCUAACCGUGGAACUGCGUGAGAUACGGCAGAACUAGAGGGGGUUAGAGGUGCAUGGAGCGCACGGUGUAGGGGUGAAAUCCGUUGAUAUCGUGCGAAACACCAAAGGCGAAGGCAGUGCACUGGGACCUUCCUGACUCUGAUAUGCGAAAGCGUGGGGAGCAAAAAGG